GGAAUAUUGGGCAAUGGGCGCAAGCCUGACCCAGCAACGCCGCGUGAAGGAAGAAUGCUUUCGGGUUGUAAACUUCUUUUCUCAGGGACGAAGCAAGUGACGGUACCUGAGGAAUAAGCCACGGCUAACUACGUGCCAGCAGCCGCGGUAAUACGGAGGAUGCGAGCGUUAUCCGGAUUUAUUGGGUUUAAAGGGUGCGUAGGCGGGCUUUUAAGUCAGCGGUAAAAACUCGGGGCUCAACCCCGUCCGGCCGUUGAAACUGGGGGCCUUGAGUGGGCGAGAAGAAGGCGGAAUGCGUGGUGUAGCGGUGAAAUGCAUAGAUAUCACGCAGAACCCCGAUUGCGAAGGCAGCCUUCCGGCGCCCUACUGACGCUGAGGCACGAAAGUGCGGGGAUCGAACAGG
RNAcentral lists this ribosomal RNA (403 nucleotides) under uncultured bacterium. Its description in RNAcentral is "bacterial SSU rRNA". It matches the Rfam family "Bacterial small subunit ribosomal RNA", at positions 358 to 776 of the family's 1533-position model. The record is from RNAcentral.